Molecule: transfer RNA, 83 nt
Filed under: Kushneria sinocarnis
Lineage: Bacteria; Pseudomonadati; Pseudomonadota; Gammaproteobacteria; Oceanospirillales; Halomonadaceae
Description: Kushneria sp. Z35 tRNA
Rfam family: tRNA
About the family: Transfer RNA (tRNA) molecules are approximately 80 nucleotides in length.
Source: Rfam by way of RNAcentral
GCGGAUGUGGUGGAAUUGGUAGACACGCUGGAUUUAGGUUCCAGUGCCUUCAUGGCGUGGGAGUUCAAGUCUCCCCAUCCGCA